Molecule: ribosomal RNA, 455 nt
Filed under: uncultured organism
Description: partial 16S ribosomal RNA
Rfam family: Bacterial small subunit ribosomal RNA
Source: RNAcentral
ACGUACACUCCUGCGGGAGGCAGCAGUGGGGAAUAUUGGACAAUGGGCGCAAGCCUGAUCCAGCCAUGCCGCGUGAGUGAUGAAGGCCCUAGGGUUGUAAAGCUCUUUCACCGGUGAAGAUAAUGACGGUAACCGGAGAAGAAGCCCCGGCUAACUUCGUGCCAGCAGCCGCGGUAAUACGAAGGGGGCUAGCGUUGUUCGGAUUUACUGGGCGUAAAGCGCACGUAGGCGGACUAUUAAGUCAGGGGUGAAAUCCCGGGGCUCAACCCCGGAACUGCCUUUGAUACUGGUAGUCUUGAGUUCGAUAGAGGUGAGUGGAAUUCCGAGUGUAGAGGUGAAAUUCGUAGAUAUUCGGAGGAACACCAGUGGCGAAGGCGGCUCACUGGCUCGAUACUGACGCUGAGGUGCGAAAGCGUGGGGAGCAAACAGGAUUAGAUACCCUUGUAGUCCCAUGA